GAUGAACGCUAGCUUCAGGCUUAACACAUGCAAGUCGCGGGGCAGCAUGGGGGUUGCUUGCAAUCCCCGAUGGCGACCGGCGCACGGGUGAGUAACGCGUAUCCAACCUGCCCUUCACCACGGGAUAACCCGGCGAAAGUCGGACUAAUACCGUAUGUUGUCCAUUGACGGCAUCCGAUUUGGACGAAAGGUUUGGCGGUGAAGGAUGGGGAUGCGUCCGAUUAGCUGGACGGCGGGGUGACGGCCCACCGUGGCGACGAUCGGUAGGGGUUCUGAGAGGAAGGUCCCCCACACUGGAACUGAGACACGGUCCAGACUCCUACGGGAGGCAGCAGUGAGGAAUAUUGGUCAAUGGGCGUAAGCCUGAACCAGCCAAGUAGCGUGCAGGAUGACGGCCCUAUGGGUUGUAAACUGCUUUUAUGCGGGGAUAAAGUGGCCCACGUGUGGGUUUUUGCAGGUACCGCAUGAAUAAGGACCGGCUAAUUCCGUG
This 490-nucleotide ribosomal RNA is filed under the name uncultured bacterium. Its description in RNAcentral is "partial 16S ribosomal RNA". It matches the Rfam family "Bacterial small subunit ribosomal RNA", at positions 28 to 507 of the family's 1533-position model. The record is from RNAcentral.